RNAcentral lists this ribosomal RNA (496 nucleotides) under uncultured bacterium. RNAcentral's name for it is "partial 16S ribosomal RNA". It matches the Rfam family "Bacterial small subunit ribosomal RNA", at positions 29 to 507 of the family's 1533-position model. The record is from RNAcentral.
AUGCACGCUGGCGGCGUGCCUAAUCCAUGCCAGUCGAGCGAACGGACGAGAAGCUUGCUUCUCUGAUGUUAGCGGCGGACGGGUGAGUAACACGUGGAUAACCUACCUAUAAGACUGGGAUAACUUCGGGAAACCGGAGCUAAUACCGGAUAAUAUUUUGAACCGCAUGGUUCAAAAGUGAAAGACGGUCUUGCUGUCACUUAUAGAUGGAUCCGCGCUGCAUUAGCUAGUUGGUAAGGUAACGGCUUACCAAGGCAACGAUGCAUAGCCGACCUGAGAGGGUGAUCGGCGACACUGGAACUGAGACACGGUCCAGACUCCUACGGGAGGCAGCAGUAGGGAAUCUUCCGCAAUGGGCGAAAGCCUGACGGAGCAACGCCGCGUGAGUGAUGAAGGUCUUCGGAUCGUAAAACUCUGUUAUUAGGGAAGAACAUAUGUGUAAGUAACUGUGCACAUCUUGACGGUACCUAAUCAGAAAGCCACGGCUAACUACGUG